GCAGUCGCCACGGUAAUACGAGGGGGGCAAGCGUUGUUCGGAAUUAUUGGGCGUAAAGGGUGCGUAGGCGGCUUGACAAGUCUUGUGUGAAAUCUAUGGGCUCAACCCAUAGUCUGCACGGGAAACUGUCGGGCUUGAGAAUGGGAGAGGUGAGUGGAAUUUCCGGUGUAGCGGUGAAAUGCGUAGAUAUCGGAAGGAACACCUGUGGCGAAAGCGGCUCACUGGACCAUUUCUGACGCUGAUGCACGAAAGCUAGGGGAGCAAACAGGAUUAGAUACCCCAGUAGUCCCUGUCUCUUAUAC
Molecule: ribosomal RNA, 302 nt
Filed under: uncultured bacterium
Lineage: Bacteria
Description: partial 16S ribosomal RNA
Rfam family: Bacterial small subunit ribosomal RNA
Source: RNAcentral